Molecule: long non-coding RNA, 372 nt
Organism: Apaloderma vittatum (bar-tailed trogon)
Lineage: Eukaryota; Metazoa; Chordata; Aves; Trogoniformes; Trogonidae
Exons: 3
Source: RefSeq, a predicted model, not a curated record
AGAUUUCAGAUACACAAUGCAUAAGAGGUUUCCAUCAAUUCUGGAAGUGUAUUACAAAUCCAAUGAAUGGGCUGGAAUUCACGGCAUAAGGGAGAAUGACCAAAUUACAUGGUUAAGCAGCAAGAACUGAAUCCUCUGUGUCUGAACUGUUUCUUCUUCUUGAUGAUGCUUUUCACAUCCCUAUUGUGAAGCCACUUGUCACGCUCUAUUUCCCAUUGGAUCUGUUUGAUAUCUGUAAGAGGAAAGGCGAGAAAUAAGGAGCCAAUGGAUACCUCUGACCAUGAUGCGGAAUACGGAUGAAUCAUGUAAAAGUUAGAAUUUGGCUAUUGUAUUUGUAAAUGUUAAUAAAGUGCAAGUUGCCAACUUUUUUUU